Corvus hawaiiensis (hawaiian crow) is the source of this 602-nucleotide long non-coding RNA. RefSeq lists it as uncharacterized. The transcript is spliced from 3 exons. The record is from RefSeq and is a predicted model, not a curated record. NCBI's taxonomy places the organism in Eukaryota, Metazoa, Chordata, Aves, Passeriformes, Corvidae.
CCUGUGCUCCAUUUCCUGGGCUUUUUAUUUCUCCUGAUCUUUAUGGCAGCUGGGUAGUGAGGCAGCAAGGCAAUUGCUAAUAAUCCCUGCUGAGACUUCCCAGCCUGGAUUUCUGACUGACUGCAAUCUUUCAUUGCUUCUUUUUUAGAUUGCCUGCCAGGAUGUUCUGGGUGUCAGUGGAGUGAGAGAGCCCCUUCAAAUCACACCUAUAUUCUCCAUUUAACUUAGAGCAUCAAGUGUUUCUCUACAGGAGGAAGACAACUAGGGAAGGAAUAUGACAAAACAAAACACAUCCUUAGCCACAAUGAGGUGAAGUCAUGCCAAGAGGAGGGGACACCAAAACAAACCUAAAGGACAAAAGUUUGAGCAAGGACUGAAGCUUUGUGCUUCAAAGGCACUGAACAGAUGUGCCAGCUGCCACAGGACACACUGAGGGCUGUGUUUCAUACCUGCUCUUCUAUGGUGCCUGGCACUGACGUAUCACGAAGUAGCUGCUGUGGUUCCAGUUAACAACCUAGGACAUGAAAGGCUGAUUUGUGUGCUGACACAAAAAUACACCUUUACCACAGAAAUAUUAAUGGAAAGAGCUUUGCUCCAUUGAA